UGGGGAAUUUUGGACAAUGGGGGCAACCCUGAUCCAGCCAUCCCGCGUGUGCGAUGAAGGCCUUCGGGUUGUAAAGCACUUUUGGCAGGGAAGAAACAGCCUGGGAUAAUACCCCGGGCGACUGACGGUACCUGCAGAAUAAGCACCGGCUAACUACGUGCCAGCAGCCGCGGUAAUACGUAGGGUGCAAGCGUUAAUCGGAAUUACUGGGCGUAAAGCGUGCGCAGGCGGUUCGGAAAGAAAGGUGUGAAAUCCCAGGGCUUAACCUUGGAACUGCACUUUUAACUACCGAGCUAGAGUACGUCAGAGGGGGGUAGAAUUCCACGUGUAGCAGUGAAAUGCGUAGAGAUGUGGAGGAAUACCGACUGGCGAAGGCAGCCCCUGGGAUGAUACUGACGCUCAUGCACGAAAGCGUGGGGAGCAAACAGGAUUAGAUACCCUGGUAGUCCACGCCCUAAACGAUGUCAACUAGCUGUUGGGGUUUAUUAACCUUAGUAGCGCAGCUAACGCGUGAAGUUGACCGCCUGGGGA
Molecule: ribosomal RNA, 531 nt
Filed under: uncultured bacterium
Lineage: Bacteria
Description: partial 16S ribosomal RNA
Rfam family: Bacterial small subunit ribosomal RNA
Source: RNAcentral